GUUGCAAGGGAGAGAUAGAAAGGCAUGUAUUCAACACUCCUUGUCUUAAUCACCAAAUUAAUGACACAAAGAGGAGACGCAAACAUGGAAAUGAGAGAAAAAACACUUAGAUAUCCAACAAAUGUCUGCCGAUCAUGAGAGUGAAAAAAAUUCAAGCUCACAAAGACUAUCACUGCAAAUACUGCAAGAACUGCAACCAGUAGUCCUGACAUCUU
This 215-nucleotide unclassified non-coding RNA is filed under the name Hevea brasiliensis (rubber tree). The record is from RNAcentral. Lineage: Eukaryota; Viridiplantae; Streptophyta; Magnoliopsida; Malpighiales; Euphorbiaceae.